RNAcentral lists this ribosomal RNA (468 nucleotides) under uncultured bacterium. Its description in RNAcentral is "partial 16S ribosomal RNA". It matches the Rfam family "Bacterial small subunit ribosomal RNA", at positions 28 to 507 of the family's 1533-position model. The record is from RNAcentral.
GACGAACGCUGGCGGCGUGCUUAACACAUGCAAGUCGAACGGAAAGGCCCUGCUUUUGUGGGGUGCUCGAGUGGCGAACGGGUGAGUAACACGUGAGUAACCUGCCCUUGACUUUGGGAUAACUUCAGGAAACUGGGGCUAAUACCGGAUAGGAGCUCCUGCUGCAUGGUGGGGGUUGGAAAGUUUCGGCGGUUGGGGAUGGACUCGCGGCUUAUCAGCUGGUUGGUGGGGUAGUGGCUUACCAAGGCUUUGACGGGUAGCCGGCCUGUGAGGGUGACCGGCCACAUUGGGACUGCGAUACGGCCCAGACUCCUACGGGAGGCAGCAGUGGGGAAUAUUGCACAAUGGGCGGAAGCCUGAUGCAGCAACGCCGCGUGCGGGAUGACGGCCUUCGGGUUGUAAACCGCUUUCGCCUGUGACGAAGCGUGAGUGACGGUAAUGGGUAAAGAAGCACCGGCUAACUACGUG